RNAcentral lists this ribosomal RNA (1720 nucleotides) under Clostridioides difficile. Its description in RNAcentral is "23S ribosomal RNA". It matches the Rfam family "Bacterial large subunit ribosomal RNA", at positions 1413 to 2925 of the family's 2925-position model. Lineage: Bacteria; Bacillati; Bacillota; Clostridia; Peptostreptococcales; Peptostreptococcaceae. The record is from RNAcentral.
CUCAGUUGGUUAGAGCGCCCGGCUCAUAACCGGUAGGUCUGGGGUUCGAGUCCCUGAUGGCCCACCACAUUAAAUUAAUUAAUAUAAAUUCGAGGUGUAGCGCAGUUUGGUAGCGCACAUGGUUUGGGACCAUGGGGCCGGGGGUUCGAGUCCCUUCACCUCGACCAAUAUAAGGUGGGUAUAGCUCAGUUGGUUAGAGCGCCAGAUUGUGGCUCUGGAGGUCGUGAGUUCGACUCUCAUUAUCCACCCCAACUCAUAUGGUCUAUUAGCUCAGUCGGUAGAGCACCUGACUUUUAAUCAGGGUGUCCCGCGUUCGAGUCGCGGAUAGAUCACCAAAAAGGUGGCGACAUAGCCAAGUGGUAAGGCAGUGGACUGCAACUCCUUGAUCCCCAGUUCGAAUCUGGGUGUCGCCUCCAANGUCAAGAAAAGUCUCUAUCGAGGUUAAAGGUACCCGUACCGCAAACCGACACAGGUGGGUGAGGAGAGUAUCCUAAGGCCAGCGAGAGAACUGUUGUUAAGGAACUCGGCAAAAUGACCCCGUAACUUAGGGAUAAGGGGUGCCACCAUCAGGUGGCCGCAGAGAAUAGGCCCAAGCGACUGUUUACCAAAAACAUAGGUUUCUGCUAAGUCGCAAGACGAUGUAUAGGAGCUGACGCCUGCCCGGUGCUGGAAGGUUAAGGGGAUCUGUUAGAGCAAUCGAAGCAGUGAACUUAAGCCCCAGUAAACGGCGGCCGUAACUAUAACGGUCCUAAGGUAGCGAAAUUCCUUGUCGGGUAAGUUCCGACCCGCACGAAAGGCGUAACGAUUUGGGCACUGUCUCAACAACAGACUCGGUGAAAUUGUAAUUCCGGUGAAGAUGCCGGAUACCUGCGACAGGACGGAAAGACCCCAUGGAGCUUUACUGUAGCUUGACAUUGGGUCUUGGUACUACAUGUACAGGAUAGGUGGGAGGCUUUGAAACCAGGACGCCAGUUUUGGCGGAGCCAUCCUUGGGAUACCACCCUUGUAGUACUGGGACUCUAACCAUAGGCCAUGAAUCUGGUCUUGGGACACUGUCAGGUGGGCAGUUUGACUGGGGCGGUCGCCUCCCAAAAGGUAACGGAGGCGCUCAAAGGUUCUCUCAGUACGGUCGGAAAUCGUACGUAGAGUGUAAAGGCAAAAGAGAGCUUGAUUGCAAGACAUACAGGUCGAGCAAGGAUGAAAAUCGGACUUAGUGAUCCGGUGGUUCUGCGUGGAAGGGCCAUCGCUCAACGGAUAAAAGCUACCCUGGGGAUAACAGGCUUAUCUCCCCCAAGAGUCCACAUCGACGGGGAGGUUUGGCACCUCGAUGUCGGCUCAUCACAUCCUGGGGCUGUAGUAGGUCCCAAGGGUUGGGCUGUUCGCCCAUUAAAGUGGUACGCGAGCUGGGUUCAGAACGUCGUGAGACAGUUCGGUCCCUAUCCGUCGCAGGCGUAGGAAAUUUGAGAAGACCUGUCCUUAGUACGAGAGGACCGGGAUGGACGUACCUCUGGUGUACCAGUUGUUCUGCCAAGGGCAUGGCUGGGUAGCUAUGUACGGAAUGGAUAAGCGCUGAAAGCAUCUAAGCGCGAAGCCAACUUCAAGAUAAGAUUUCCCACCGCAAGGGUAAGACCCCAGAAAGACUAUCUGGUUGAUAGGUCGAAGGUGUAAGUGCAGCAAUGUAUUUAGCUUAUCGAUACUAAUAGGUCGAGGACUUGACCAA